This 1467-nucleotide ribosomal RNA is filed under the name Salmonella enterica. Its description in RNAcentral is "partial 23S ribosomal RNA". It matches the Rfam family "Bacterial large subunit ribosomal RNA", at positions 1 to 1503 of the family's 2925-position model. The record is from RNAcentral. Lineage: Bacteria; Pseudomonadati; Pseudomonadota; Gammaproteobacteria; Enterobacterales; Enterobacteriaceae.
GGGUUGUGAGGUUAAGCGACUAAGCGUACACGGUGGAUGCCCUGGCAGUCAGAGGCGAUGAAGGACGUGCUAAUCUGCGAUAAGCGCCGGUAAGGUGAUAUGAACCGUUAUAACCGGCGAUUUCCGAAUGGGGAAACCCAGUGUGACUCGUCACACUAUCAUUAACUGAAUCCAUAGGUUAAUGAGGCGAACCGGGGGAACUGAAACAUCUAAGUACCCCGAGGAAAAGAAAUCAACCGAGAUUCCCCCAGUAGCGGCGAGCGAACGGGGAGGAGCCCAGAGCCUGAAUCAGCAUGUGUGUUAGUGGAAGCGUCUGGAAAGGCGCGCGAUACAGGGUGACAGCCCCGUACACAAAAGCGCAUGUGCUGUGAGCUCGAUGAGUAGGGCGGGACACGUGGUAUCCUGUCUGAAUAUGGGGGGACCAUCCUCCAAGGCUAAAUACUCCUGACUGACCGAUAGUGAACCAGUACCGUGAGGGAAAGGCGAAAAGAACCCCGGCGAGGGGAGUGAAAAAGAACCUGAAACCGUGUACGUACAAGCAGUGGGAGCACCCUUUGGGGUGUGACUGCGUACCUUUUGUAUAAUGGGUCAGCGACUUAUAUUCUGUAGCAAGGUUAACCGAAUAGGGGAGCCGGAGGGAAACCGAGUCUUAAUUGGGCGUUAAGUUGCAGGGUAUAGACCCGAAACCCGGUGAUCUAGCCAUGGGCAGGUUGAAGGUUGGGUAACACUAACUGGAGGACCGAACCGACUAAUGUUGAAAAAUUAGCGGAUGACCUGUGGCUGGGGGUGAAAGGCCAAUCAAACCGGGAGAUAGCUGGUUCUCCCCGAAAGCUAUUUAGGUAGCGCCUCGUGAAUUCAUCUCCGGGGGUAGAGCACUGUUUCGGCUAGGGGGCCAUCCCGGCUUACCAACCCGAUGCAAACUGCGAAUACCGGAGAAUGUUAUCACGGGAGACACACGGCGGGUGCUAACGUCCGUCGUGAAGAGGGAAACAACCCAGACCGCCAGCUAAGGUCCCAAAGUCAUGGUUAAGUGGGAAACGAUGUGGGAAGGCCCAGACAGCCAGGAUGUUGGCUUAGAAGCAGCCAUCAUUUAAAGAAAGCGUAAUAGCUCACUGGUCGAGUCGGCCUGCGCGGAAGAUGUAACGGGGCUAAACCAUGCACCGAAGCUGCGGCAGCGACACUCAGGUGUUGUUGGGUAGGGGAGCGUUCUGUAAGCCUGCGAAGGUGGCCUGUGAGGGUUGCUGGAGGUAUCAGAAGUGCGAAUGCUGACAUAAGUAACGAUAAAGCGGGUGAAAAGCCCGCUCGCCGGAAGACCAAGGGUUCCUGUCCAACGUUAAUCGGGGCAGGGUGAGUCGACCCCUAAGGCGAGGCCGAAAGGCGUAGUCGAUGGGAAACGGGUUAAUAUUCCCGUACUUGGUGUUACUGCGAAGGGGGGACGGAGAAGGCUAUGUUGGCCGGGCGACGGUU